AGGGAUCUGGAUAGGUUGGAUAGCUGGGCUGAAACCAAUGGGAUGGGAUUCAACAAGACCAAAUGCCGGGUCCUGCACUUUGGCCACAAUAACCCCAGGCAACGCUACAGGCUUGGGGCAGAGUGGCUGGAAGACUGUGUAGAGGAAAUGGACCUGGGGGUGUUGAUUGACGCUAGACUGAACAUGAGCCAGCAGUGUGCCCAGGUGGCCAAGAAGGCCAAUAGCAUCCUGGCUUGUAUCAGAAAUAGCGUGGCCAGCAGGAACAGGGAAGUAAUUGUCCCCCUGUACUCAGCACUGGUGAGGCCGCACCUUGAGUACUGUGUCCAGUUUUGGGCCCCUCACUGUAAGAAAGACAUCGAGGCCCUGGAGCGUGUCCAGAGGAGGGCAACAAAGCUGGUGAGGGCUGGUGAGGGGUCUGGAGCACAGGCCUUAUGAAGAGCGGCUGAAGGAGCUGGGGUUGUCCAGUCUAGAGAAGAGGAGGCUCAGAGGAGACCUUAUUGCUCUCUAUAGCUACCUGAAGGGAGGUUGUGGUGAGCUGGGGGUCAGCCUCUUCUCCUGGGUGACUAGUGAUAGGACGAGAGGAAAUAGCUUCAAUCUGUGUCAGGGAAGAUUCAGGCUGGACAUUAGGAAAUACUACUUCUCUGAAAGGGUGGUCAGGCACUGGAAUGGGCUGCCCAGAGAGGUGGUGGAGUCACCGAUCCUGGUGGUGUUCAAAGAGCUUUUGGAUGUUGUGUUGAGGGACAUGGUUUAGUGAGAACCAUUGGUGAUGGGCGAAUGGUUAGAUGGGAUGAUCCUGUGGGUCUUUUCCAACCUUAGCGAUUCUAUGAUUCUAUGACAAAAAUUCUGUUUAUGAUAAUAAUCACACAAAUUUUGGU
Molecule: long non-coding RNA, 875 nt
Filed under: Gallus gallus (chicken)
Lineage: Eukaryota; Metazoa; Chordata; Aves; Galliformes; Phasianidae
Description: lncRNA (ENSGALG00010019593.1)
Source: RNAcentral